UACGAAGGGGGCUAGCGUUGUUCGGAAUUACUGGGCGUAAAGGGCUCGUAGGCGGCCAACUAAGUCGGACGUGAAAUCCCUCGGCUUAACCGGGGAACUGCGUCCGAUACUGGAUGGCUUGAGUGUGGGAGAGGGAUGCGGAAUUCCAGGUGUAGCGGUGAAAUGCGUAGAUAUCUGGAGGAACACCGGUGGCGAAGGCGGCAUCCUGGACCACGACUGACGCUGAGUGAGCGAAAGCCAGGGGAGCAAACGGG
RNAcentral lists this ribosomal RNA (254 nucleotides) under uncultured bacterium. RNAcentral describes it as "partial 16S ribosomal RNA". It matches the Rfam family "Bacterial small subunit ribosomal RNA", at positions 524 to 776 of the family's 1533-position model. The record is from RNAcentral.